This 494-nucleotide ribosomal RNA is filed under the name uncultured bacterium. RNAcentral describes it as "partial 16S ribosomal RNA". It matches the Rfam family "Bacterial small subunit ribosomal RNA", at positions 28 to 507 of the family's 1533-position model. The record is from RNAcentral.
GACGAACGCUGGCGGCGUGCUUAACACAUGCAAGUCGAACGGUGAAGCGCCUUCCUUUUUGGUGGGUGUGGAUGAGUGGCGAACGGGUGAGUAACACGUGAGUAACCUGCCCCCUUCUUCUGGAUAACCGCAUGAAAGUGUGGCUAAUACGGGAUAUUCUGGGUCUGUCGCAUGAUGGGUCUGGGAAAGAUAUUGUUUCGGUGGGGGAUGGGCUCGCGGCCUAUCAGCUUGUUGGUGGGGUGAUGGCCUACCAAGGCGGUGACGGGUAGCCGGCCUGAGAGGGUGGACGGUCACACUGGGACUGAGACACGGCCCAGACUGCUACGGGAGGCAGCAGUGGGGAAUAUUGCACAAUGGGCGCAAGGCUGAUGCAGCGACGCCGCGUGAGGGAUGGAGGCCUUCGGGUUGUGAACCUCUUUCGCCAGUGAAGCAGGCCUGCCUCGUUUGUGGGUGGGUUGACGGUAGCUGGAUAAGAAGCGCCGGCUAACUACGUG